RNAcentral lists this unclassified non-coding RNA (387 nucleotides) under Hevea brasiliensis (rubber tree). Lineage: Eukaryota; Viridiplantae; Streptophyta; Magnoliopsida; Malpighiales; Euphorbiaceae. The record is from RNAcentral.
CCCGAACUUUGGACUUCGUUACAAUAAAACCCUACCAUUAAUUUCUUCAUUAACUCCUAAUAGAAGUGCAUCAUCAGUUUUCUAAUCAGUCAAAUCAACUCUUAAUGAAACCUUAAUAGCUUGCAGAAGAAAGAGACCAACAACAGGACAACCAUUAAUUAUCAAUUAAUACCCAACAUUCUCCAUCAAAAACUCCAUCAAAAUAACAGAAAAAUAAACAAGUAAAUACCAAACUUCGACAAUCACUUUAAAACCUGCAAAUUAAGCCAAAUUUGAAUCCAUCAAAAUUUCAGAAGUUCAAUACAAGUAAAUACCAAACUUCGACAAUCACUUUAAAACCUGCAAAUUAAGCCAAAUUUGAAUCCAUCAAAAUUUCAGAAGUUCAAU